GAAAUGACUCUCGGCAACGGAUAUCUCGGCUCUCGUCACGAUGAAGAACGUAGCGAAAUGCGAUACUUAGUGUGAAUUGCAGAAUCCCGUGAAUCAUCAAGUCUUUGAACGCAAUUUGCGCCCGAGGCCUUGGCUGAGGGCACGUUUGUCUGGGCGUCGCAU
RNAcentral lists this ribosomal RNA (162 nucleotides) under Tsuga sieboldii. RNAcentral's name for it is "5.8S ribosomal RNA". It matches the Rfam family "5.8S ribosomal RNA". Rfam says of the family: 5.8S ribosomal RNA (5.8S rRNA) is a component of the large subunit of the eukaryotic ribosome. The record is from RNAcentral. Lineage: Eukaryota; Viridiplantae; Streptophyta; Pinopsida; Pinales; Pinaceae.